Molecule: ribosomal RNA, 499 nt
Filed under: uncultured bacterium
Lineage: Bacteria
Description: partial 16S ribosomal RNA
Rfam family: Bacterial small subunit ribosomal RNA
Source: RNAcentral
GACGAACGCUGGCGGCGUGCUUAACACAUGCAAGUCGAACGGGCCUGUCUUCUUUUUUGGGGGUGGGUUGAGUGGCGAACGGGUGAGUAUCACGUGAGUAACCUGCCCUUCGGUCCUGGAUAACCGCUUGAAAGGGCGGCUAAUACGGGGUGGUCCGGUUGGUCCGCAUGGGCUGGUCGGGAUAGAUUCACUGUUUUUGGUGUUUCGGCGGGGGAUGGGCUCGCGGCCUAUCAGCUUGUUGGUGGGGUGAUGGCCUACCGAGGCGGUGACGGGUAGCCGGCCUGAGAGGGUGGGCGGCCACACUGGGACUGAGAUACGGCCCAGACUCCUGCGGGAGGCAGCAGUGGGGGGUAUUGCACAAUGGGCGGAAGCCUGAUGCAGCGACGUCGCGUGAGGGAGGGAGGCCUUCGGGUUGUGAACCUCUGUUUCCGGUGGUGAAGGCCCUGUCCGUGUGGUGGGGUUGACGGUAGCCGGGGAUGAAGCGCCGGCUAACUACGUG